UAUUACUUUUUAUACUGUACCUUAAAAGCAUUAGGCUUGGAAGAGUUUAUUUUGGUGGUCAGAAAAAUAGGCUUCCUCUCAUUUGACUAUUUUAAAUGUUAAGAUGUAAAAUAAUGAAAGACAGAUAAAUUGCUUUAUGCAGUAAAGUGUUUUUUUAAGAAUGUUUAACUCAGCCAGUGGGCAAAUACUUGGUAUAAGGCAAGUUGGUCUUUUCAUACUGAAAUGCGUUAGCUAGGAAAGAUAUUCUUGAAAAUCUUUUUUUUUCUGAUUGUAAUUAAUUUCGGGAAGUGUAGAAAGGUCCUUACUCCUUUGUACGUAUUCAGGAUGCCUGCCUUUUUUAUGCAAUUGUGGAAAGAAUGUCAGAUGUUUUAAUAUAUUCUUUGUUAAUCUGAAAACUUGUUAUCUGAUCAUUUUCUUCAUUUGGGGGGAGGGAGGAACACCACAAAAAGGGGAUUUUUAUCAAAAUAAGUAAUGGAGGUAACAAAUCUUGUACAUUUUUUAUAGUAAAAAUAUUUAAAGAAUAAGAGACUAUUCACUUUUAGAACUGGUUAUGGUUAAUAUGCGUUUAUAACUUUGUCAAAAUAUACAACCAACGGUUUGACAGUGAUGUUGUCUGCAUCUGUAGUGAGAUGGAUGUGGUUCCUGGUUUUCUGUUUGGGAACAGAUCAUCCCAGCCUUCUCUUAAAAAUAUAACCCCAGCACUUAAUCGGUGAUCAUCUGGUCCACACACAGCGCCCAUGGGUGCUAAGAGUAGUAACUGAGACCGGAAUUAAAUGUGCCCUUUGGUGGAGAAAAGAGGUGUGUUCAGGCCAACCCUGUGGUCGGAUGAGGGAGUGACAGGAAUGCACUGGUCCAAGUCGGCCUUUGUUCCCUCAAACUC
RNAcentral lists this long non-coding RNA (880 nucleotides) under Bos taurus (domestic cattle). Its description in RNAcentral is "long non-coding RNA NONBTAT001531". Lineage: Eukaryota; Metazoa; Chordata; Mammalia; Artiodactyla; Bovidae. The record is from RNAcentral.